Long non-coding RNA from Pseudophryne corroboree (corroboree frog), 594 nucleotides. RefSeq lists it as uncharacterized. Lineage: Eukaryota; Metazoa; Chordata; Amphibia; Anura; Myobatrachidae. The record is from RefSeq and is a predicted model, not a curated record. The transcript is spliced from 3 exons.
GUGAGUCAUUGUGGAUGGACCCGGUCUGUGAGUGCGGCCAGGUGCAGGGAGCAGCGCUGAUUGGCGUGGUUUAAGAGGGGUGACUAAAAAGUCUUCACUACCAUCUGUGCCAGUCCCAAGCCCCACACAAGCCGAAGACGCUGCUGUAGGGGGACCAUCAACCCAGGUGACUCCCUCGAGGAGACGUAUCUCAACACAAUCUUCAAGGCCUCAUGACACACCACCACUAAAGAGGAUUUCCACUGUCUCUUCAAGGCCACCACACCAGCUCCUGGAGAGUCUCAUUCCAAUGACGCCACAGUCUCCAUACCUACUUGAGUAAAAAUAACACCAACAGAUUAGGGCCCAUACUUACACACAACCACUUUAACAUGACACAAAGGGGUACAUUUACUAAGAUGGUUUUUUUUUUAAACUGUUGAUGUUACUCUCAGCAAACAAUCUGAAUAUAUGUAUUAUAUUCUAAAAGCAGCUAAAUAAAUGUUAAGUAGAAUCUGAUUGUUUGCUAUGAGCAACAUCACCAGUUCUAAAAAAAAAAAGACACUUUAGUAAAGUAGGGAUGUAAAUAAUGCACCACAAACAAAGGUCACAUUA